Molecule: non-coding RNA, 312 nt
Organism: Miniopterus natalensis
Lineage: Eukaryota; Metazoa; Chordata; Mammalia; Chiroptera; Miniopteridae
Source: RefSeq, a predicted model, not a curated record
UUUUGAUGAGCACAUAGAUUUUUUUUUUUGGCCUAAAACCAUUUUUUAAAAUUUUUAAAAAAAUUGAGAGCGUGGAAGCGUCGCUGGAAGCGUCUGUGUUGACUGUUUUCUGGGCAACGCGGACGUGGACACAUCACUGCUCUCAAGCCUCCCGGUGACUUUCUACAAAAGGGAAAUAGGCCCUGUGCUUUCUGUCUCCUCAAUGACAAAGGAGGCUUUGGAGCCUGGACGUCUUCACUGGAACAUGCUAAUCCUCCCACCGGCUCCCAUCUGCUCGCCCGUCUCCCCCAUCCUCUGACCUCCGUCCGUCUG